GUCAAUGCGAAAUCAUAUUCCAUUCGUACCACUUAGCAUCAACCGAAAACUUCUGGCCAGUGGUGGUGGUAUUCGACCUGUUCCUGGCAAACAGCAAGCAUCGGUCAAAAUGAAUUCAUUUGACAGCAAGGUUGACAGACUAGAGCAGUUCAUGUUGAUGAAAGGCUUGUACGAUUGUGUGAAAGUCAUCAAGAAACCCACUAGAAAGCCUGUCAAGGAUUCUGACAGCGAUAGCAACAAUUAAAACACUGAUGUUCAGUUGCUUGUGGCCACUAAAAAAAAUGAGGCAUUAAAAGAAAGUGGGUGUCAGAUC
This 313-nucleotide long non-coding RNA is filed under the name Rattus norvegicus (Norway rat). RNAcentral's name for it is "long non-coding RNA NONRATT031247". The record is from RNAcentral. Lineage: Eukaryota; Metazoa; Chordata; Mammalia; Rodentia; Muridae.